AAGUACACCAGCUGAGAAGCGCCAGACUUUCAGUUCUGCUCUUGCUUGGUUGAAACCAUUGGUUCCGUCUUUCAUUUCCUGUAUCGCUGAGAGCAGCUUCUCUGUGUUCCUACGGGGUCUGGAUCGGCCCUCGGAUGAGCAGGGCCCAGUCCGCGGCUUCUACCUGCACGGGGCUGGGGGGGCUCUGGUUCACGUCAGGGGGCCCCUUCCCAAUGUGGACGUGAGCGCUCUGAUGCUGGGGUGCGUGGAAAGAGGGCCCGUGUGGACUCCCACAGCCAUGCAUGUAACCGAAGACGUGAUACCAAAUGCAGAAGUCGACAAGGGGAGAAAAUGCCAUUUCAUCUGCACGUGGAACUAUGGUUUUGUACCAGAGCGAACAUCAGAAGAUUCGGGGGAACUUGAAAGUUACCUGAGGCCUUUGGCUUAGAGAUUAAAACUUCAACUUCUAUUCAUUCUAAAUAUUAGGCAGAUUCUGACUCCUCAAUGUACACAAAAAGAAAGAAAGAAAAGAAGAGAAAAAGAAAUGGCAUAUUUUUGUGCACUUUGAGAAAGAAGGAAUGGGUUAUUACCAGUCUUCAGUAUUCUCCUUAACGCUAGAAAUUAAGCUCAAAUUCCUUGAGCAGAAAACCAGUUUGUAAGAAAAGUCCUGUGAACCCAGAGAUGGAGAGAUGGGGGCCUGGGGGCUCCCUGACUGUGCUGGUCACACUCUUACUGUCACGUCACAAUUAACUAAGUCCCCUAGCCUUCAACAUGUCGCAGGUUUUGGAGGACACAUCGCUCGAGGGCAUUCUGAGAAUCACCUAGCACACAUUAGAAAAAGCAAGCAAAAUGCCCCUUUUAUUUUUUUAAGAACACAGUGUCUCAAUUAUCUCAUCUUGGGGAUGGACCAGGGGAAAAUCCAGAAAAUGUGAGUUCUGUUAUCUGGCCACUGAGCCCCGUUCUGCCUGAGGUUUGCCUCUCGAAUCCACCUCAAGGCUAUAUGGUGCAUCCUGGGCCUGAUCCUAGGGAAAGGAAAGAGGGGGUACAGGGGGCCCCAGCACCCAGAGGACCCCGGAGCCACCCAGCUUUCACCCAGCCUUCCUCGGAUGGGGGGGACGGAGAUGCACAGAGCUCCCCAGCGCAGGGAGCAGGUGCAGAGGAAGCAAGAGCCCCCUUUUCCUCCCAGGUCACACCUGGCCCUAACACCCCCAUCAGGAGGAAGCAGCCUGGGGACACCACAGUGAUAAACGUCUUCCUCACUGACUGUUUUCCUAGGCCCACAGACCUCUCCCUCUCGCUGUGUGUCCUUUACUCCCGGGUCCCCUCAGGGUUCUGCUCUUUCUUGGGUGUGCUCCGAGCUGGGAAUCAGCGCCACUGUGAUGGGGAAGGUGCUGGGGGAGGGGGAGGACCAGUGUCGCUCCCACAGACCCGAAGGCUCUCCCUGCGAGGGCGGGAAGCUUCUCCUACCUUCCGGGACCAACAGAGUUUAGUUACCUGCACGUCAGGUGCGCGUGGCGCCUGCUGCACAUGUCUUUUAGUAAAUGGGUCUUCUGUUACCCAUUAGAGAAUCCCGUCCUCCUUUUUAGGGAAAACUUCUCUCGUAGGAAAAAUUUAAAAUGCUUGUUCACUCAACAUGGGAUUUCAACUUCAAAAUUAGAAAAGAAGAAGGGCGUGUCCCCACUCUGUGCGGAAUAAGACUUCGGCUCUGCAGACGUGAAUGCGCGUGGCCGUUAGCCCCCUGACCAAGGGCAGCUGUCACUUUUAGGUCCCCUUCAGGAAAACGACGUCCCAGGCGAGGACACAGGCCAAGGCCAGGGGCAGCGCUUACAACAGACCCCCUUCCGCUGUAGAGGUGGAAACCUGUGCCAGGCUUUCCUUUAUGAAAACCCAAGGUCUGCUUCUGUGUAACUGAGAGGCUCCCCCUACCCCACCGACACCUCCUCUGCCAAGGACAGUGUUGGCGUUUAAGAACAAAUCUCCAGGAGAAUGAGGGACUGUGACUGUCCGGGAGCUGCAGACCCCCUGCUCCACGUGCCUCCUGGGGAGACACUGACGGCUGCCUCGGGGGGAGGGCCUGGGCCUGCAGGACAGGCUGGCACAGGCGUCCACCCGUCUGUUUGUCUUUCUGCCUAAGGAGCAAAACUUAGAGGUGCAGCAGGCAAACAGACCCAGAAGGACCCCAGCACAGCGGUUCCCGGGCUCUUCGUGAGACUCUUUUGUCGUUCGAUCUGUGACUUCUGCUCAGUCAGGAAGCAAAGCGGGACUGUCGUGCAAGACUGGAUCAUUUCUGUUACGUUAGUGGCGUCUUUGCAUGGCUGCUCUUUUGGGAGCCUCUCCAGUGGGGAAGUUGUCUAGAGUCCUGGGGGAAAUAAACUCUCCCCUUAAAUUCUUCUACAGCAGUGAAUGCAGGAGGAAAUCAGACUGUCCUCUUCCAUCUUUACUCACCACUCGUCCCGAGCAGCCGUCUCAGAGCUCAGCAAGUUUUCCCUCCUCUUCCCCGAAACCAGGCUGUGCCAGUACCAGCAGGCUUCUUCCUUCAGAAUAUCUAGAAGAAAAAUCCUUAAAAGAAAUUGAUUUUAAAAUAGGAUGGUUUUCUCAAGUCCUCAACAUGGUUUUUAUUACACAGACCAUCUGCGUAAGAGGUCAUGAGACCUACUGAAUGAUGAGAAUCAAGGAACAACGCGACGGGAAUACAUUACGGUGGAAAAGCCUGCACUUGUAUGAGAGAAUCAAUACCCCAGACGUCCUCCUCUACAGUGACAACUGAUUACCGUAAUAUCGUUUCAAGGAAAACAAACCGAGAAGCUUGGAAUCCGUGUUUCCCAUCUGGAGGUGCCGCAGCCUGGCUCUCAUGGCUGAUCUCAGAGAAUGAAAAAUCCUCCUCCAGGAACUGGGCUUCAGCGAUGUGGCAGAGCCUGCACCCCUCUCCCGGGAGCCACAGGACCCUGCGACGUGGAGCCGACUCCAUCCGGAGCUGCCAGGAGGAAUGCAAGUGAAGUGACCCACCUGAAACUUGAAAACUCUGCCUGUAAUCCCUCCAUCCCACGACAGAGAGGUGACAGAUAGACAGAUAAACAUGAUAAUGUAAGUAGAAAGUGUCCAGAAGGAGCAAAGAAUAGCAAAAGGAGGAGAAAACCUGGCUUGAGUUCCCCUUUCCAGACAUUUAAGUCACUACAGAAAGUUCUCCACAUACAUAUGUUAAUCCAACAUUCCUUCAAGCUCCAAGCCGAGUCGCGCAAAGCAGUGCCAGCGCCUUUGCUAAGCAGGUAUCAGCUAUCAGCGGCCUGGACAGAGGGCUGUUUCCAGUCCCUGGAGUGAUGACCUGCGUUGGGGAGAAGGAAAGGCCAGCCUGUUUGUCUCCUUCAGCGCUGACUCGACCUGUUCGAAGUGAGAAGCCUGGACGUGAAGACUGUGUGGCUGAGCCGGGCCCCUUCUUUGGGGGCCUGACCCCGCCUAGGGGCUGCCAGCUGGGCUGAGGGUCAGCUGUCAGCCCUAAGUGGCCGUUUGCUUCAGUUGUUCUCCGGUGUCACCGCGCUGCCAUGAAGGAGGCGGUGUGAUGCGGUUUCGGACUCAGUCUUAAGCCCAAACGAUGGGUCCGUCUGGCUACCAUUUUAUUGCUAUCCUCAAAGUACCUUUGCAAAUUUAAUGGGAAAUCAACCGUGAAAUUUAUCUAUUACAAGCAAAUACCGGGGGGCUGGAUUUGCCUUUGUUGUGUGUUUCCUGGUGGUUCAGGUCUGUCUCCUCACUGCUCCCAGCUGGGUCCCCUGACUCUGUCCCAAAGCUCAGGAACAACUAUUUUUAGACCCAGGCAAGCCCCAGGGCAUCAGACGGUAAAUCAUUAGCUGUGACUUUAAAAAUAGUCCUUGAGCCACUUUGGAAACAUUGAUUUCUCCACAGCAUGUGGACUUGGAUUUAUAUCCCACCUUUGCAGCUCAGUCCCCAUAAACAGACUGAACCCAACCACCAAGGCUGCCCACAGCGGAUGUCUCAGGGCGGAGACGGAGCUGUAACAGUGGGGUUGUGCAGCGUUUAUAAAACAAACGUUAGGCAUGGCCACCGGCCUCCCCCAGGUUCCUUACUCAGCACCACACAGGCCGGCCGGCACCCAGUUGGAGUUGAGAGUCCACGCUGGACUCUGGGCUUCGUAUUUUAUUCCAUAACAUUGUGCGGUCAGAUGAGGGCGGAACAUUACCUCUUAGAACAGCCUGGAUGUUCUAAGUCUACACCAGCGAAGUCUCCUGCAGAACUUCUGCCACCAGUUGCUGCCUCUGGUGUUUCAUAAACUCGCCGAACGUCAAAAUGAUGUCAUUCCGGACUCCUUGUUUGACUGAGAGGAAACUGAGGCCUAGAGAAGGGAAGGGACUUUUAGGAAAGUUGUGGCAAUAUCGCGAUGGCACGAGAGGGGUCCUGACUCUCGCUGAACCAUACUGUGAGAAUAUAAUAUUCUGCCUGAUGCAGACAGGGGGCUGUUUCCCACGCAGUUCAGCAGAACACAGGAACAUGCAUCUGUUAGAGCAUCGCUGCCCUAGAUGCUGUUGGGGAGAUGAGGUAGUGAGGAAAGGUUGAAAAUUCAGAUCCUCUAUGAUCACGUGGCACAAUUCUACACGUGGUGAAUUUCACCUUUAACAGUGUGGGUAGGAGAGGAGUUAAUGCAAAUGUUACUCUGUUCAUCAACGCCAAUGAUUCUGCUUCCAGAAAAGACUCAGCUUUCUGCUGGUCUAAGGGACAUUUCAAAAACGGAAAAGGAAAAAAAAAAGAAGAAGAAGAAAGAAUAAUAGGAUAAGAAGAAGGAGCUUUUGUUUUGGUGCACUUUUUUUCUUUUCUUUCUUUCUUUUUUUUGAGUAGAGGAAGCCCUCUUUCACACCAGAUUUAAAAGGAAGGCGUUUUAGAAGCGACAGAUGCAAAUACCCACCUCCACUGUUUGUUCAGCUUUGGCCAAGUUAGAGGUCAGUUUCCAGUUGUUGACAGGGAAAAGGCUAGCGAGCAAAAUACCUUUAUCAUUAAAUAUUAUCUUGCGAAAAUAUUUACGCGGGUGUAAGCAUAGAACAUCGUGCUAAUAAUGGGACACACACGUUUUGAAACUGUAAUCCAACCCCAUGAAACAAUACCCAGGAAAAGCGUCUGUUUUCCUCCCUCCCAGGUGUACACGCUGCUUAUAGUUCAGGCUUUGCAGAUGUGUGAUGGACGCCUACUUCCAUGGAUUACAAUGGCUCUUGGUCAAAUAGGAUACUUUUUAUUACUUCCCCAGAUGAAAUGCAAGAGAGCUUGGAGUUUCUGUGAUAAAGUGUCACUCCUAACGAUCAAACUUCAUUAAAAUUACAUUCCUA
Molecule: long non-coding RNA, 5306 nt
Organism: Camelus dromedarius (Arabian camel)
Lineage: Eukaryota; Metazoa; Chordata; Mammalia; Artiodactyla; Camelidae
Exons: 8
Source: RefSeq, a predicted model, not a curated record